UCGGUCCGGGUGGGUCUAAGGGUGAUGAUUGAUCCGCCGUGCGCACGCCAACGCGUUCCUCUGUAGCAGGAGAGGGGGCCUGCGUGUGACCGAGCGUGCGUGGGAGGACGCGCGUGUGUGUCUGUGCGCCCUGAUCACGGUGGUCUGUGGGUGGGGCGGAUCGUGCGCGCGCGCCCGAUCUGUGCGCCCCAAGCCAGCAGCCUUGCUUUACUGGUACCAGUACCUGCCUGCUGCUACCAACCAGUCAACAUGUGGCAUCUUCCAGGCCACUGUGAUGAGUCAGGGAUGAGCAUCUGACUCUGGUUGCUCCAAUCAGCUUGUCCAGGGGCUUUGGCUGGGAAGAUUGGAAAGGAGGCCAGCUUUUUGGGCUGGGGUUGCUGAGAGACAUGAUGAUGAACUGUGUGGCCUACCUGGCAUCUGGCCCCAGCUUCAGCUCCGUUUACUGUCUUGCUCCCCACCCUCACUAGCCUGCAUUGAGGCCUCCUCUAUGCCCCCCAACCCCUGAGUUUCUCAUCCCCAGAGAGCCCAACAUACACAGAAUUGAAGGGUUUUCUCAUUCAUCUUCCUGUGCUCACCCUGAGGACUGGGCCUAUGUCAUCUGCUAACUACUGUCCCCCCAGCACUCACAGUGGAAAAUGGAGUGCUAUGCAGCCCUGCAGCUUGCCUUCUAGAACAGUUCACGGGCAAGGCCUCCCACACUGAACCCUGCUACAGCCAAAUGGUGCCAGGCAACACAGAGCUACUUGUUACAUCAGCUCAGACUAAGCCACAUCCACAGGAGCAUUUGGUGAUUCCACAGAACCACAAGAGACUUGACCUCCUGGAAACGAAUUAACCAAGAUUAAUGAAACAGAUUAAGGUCAUGUGCCCUGUAAAAAUGUCCCUCACUGGAUGAACUGUGACAAGAUGUGAAGGGGACACUGCCGCUGACUGCCUGGUGACAGCUAGCCAGUGGUUGAGAGACCGCAAGAUGGUUCCUCGUCUUUCACUUCCCUUCGUCCCAGGUCUGAACUCGGACCAGCUGGAGCCUUUGGGGGACCACGGAUUCCCCUUUACACUCACACGCAUUUCUCUUGUCCGUCACUCACUCACAGUCCAGUAAGGAUCCUGCUGUCUAUUCCGCAAAGACAUCUUGAAUGCAGGGACAGCCAUGUGGAAGACUGUCCUCGAGGGUGGCAGCAGCCUCUCAGGACGGGGAAAGCCAAGGUCCCCACCCAGCAGGAGGAGGUCCGAGGCUCUGCGCGACGCUGGCCCCGCGGAGUGUGGGGGACUUUUCCUCUCAACCACCAGUGCCCCGCAAGCGUGGGUGAACAGUCCUCCCUGGCUACUGUGGGAUGCUGGGCAGGCGACUUCGCUUCUCUGGGCCUCGGUUUUCCUGCUUGUCAAAUGGGGCUGAUGCUGGCGUGGGCUUCUUCGGGCGGUCGCAAGGGUUGACCCCUGGAAUCAACGAGCCAGCCACGCACGCACUCCCGGCCGGAGGUCGGGGGCUGGGGGCGCACCUCCCGCCUACGCGCCCCGGCCCC
Molecule: long non-coding RNA, 1523 nt
Organism: Nomascus leucogenys (northern white-cheeked gibbon)
Lineage: Eukaryota; Metazoa; Chordata; Mammalia; Primates; Hylobatidae
Source: RefSeq, a predicted model, not a curated record